Molecule: long non-coding RNA, 227 nt
Filed under: Phaseolus vulgaris (common bean)
Lineage: Eukaryota; Viridiplantae; Streptophyta; Magnoliopsida; Fabales; Fabaceae
Description: long non-coding RNA (PVUL_LNC003922)
Source: RNAcentral
UCAACAUGAUCCUAUUUAUGUCAAAUUACCAAAUGGAAAUCAAGUCAUUGCCAAUUAUUCUGGAAGUGUUUUUCUCAAUCAAAAUCAUGUUAUAACAAUGUUUUGUAUAUUCCUUGUUUCACUUUUAAUCUUCUUUCAGUAACAAAAUUGAUUGAUAGAUUAUCUUGUGUUCUUACCUUUGAUUCUAAUGGUUGUCACAUUCAAGCCAAAAAAAUCCUUGAAAAUAA